CCUGUCUGUUUUUAUUUUCACUUUCUCCCUCUACAGUUUGUUUUCUCUCUCCUCCUGCAAAUGCUCUCUUCUCCUGCGAUUUCUCUAAUUUUUUCCCACACCUUCUAUUUAGCAAAUUUUCAUCUUCUCAUCUUCAUGCAUUGUUCUAGCAAGUUUAUGGGCAGAAAUCGCGAAUUGCAAAUGGAUUCAACUGAAGCCCUGAUCCAAACGAUGAACCAAAACUUCCAGCUGUUACUUAAGAACGAUGAAUACAUGUUCUUUUUGUGAUGUGGGUGAUUGAUUGAUUAUGUUCUGGAUGGUGUACGCAAAGAAGCUGAGAAUUGUGACUGCUUACAAGGGCAAAACAGCGAGGAAGUUGCAAUUCUGGUUCGUCUUCUUCAAGGGGUUGUCUGUCGAACUUGAAAUGUAAAUGUGGAACUGAUGCGGUGGAUGCGGAUUGUGGUUUUUUCAAGUGGAUUGGUGGUGUUAGAGAAAUAGGGGAUGAACUCCGCUUUCAGUUGUUCGAGAAGGAAACCACAAUUGCGGAAUUGGAAAUGCAGAAGCAGAUAGUUGAAGAGAAGGUUAAGAAGUUGCAAUUGAAAAAGGAGAACAUGGAAGAAGACUUGCAAGAGUUGAAAGCAGAGGUUUCUCAAAUGCGAAUUGAACUUAUGAAGAGUUCUAGGAAUGAGAAGAAUUUUUCUUUGGCUUUAAUGUUGUCAUGGGUCUUAUUUGGAAUUAUUGUGAUGUAUUUGAAGUAGGUUGUGUUAGAAUUGUUGAAUGUAAUGUGUUGAAGUUGUGAAUAAAUGGAAGGUGUUUGGAAACAUUCAA
Chenopodium quinoa (quinoa) is the source of this 807-nucleotide RNA transcript. RefSeq lists it as uncharacterized. The transcript is spliced from 5 exons. Lineage: Eukaryota; Viridiplantae; Streptophyta; Magnoliopsida; Caryophyllales; Amaranthaceae. The record is from RefSeq and is a predicted model, not a curated record.